This 437-nucleotide ribosomal RNA is filed under the name uncultured bacterium. RNAcentral describes it as "bacterial SSU rRNA". It matches the Rfam family "Bacterial small subunit ribosomal RNA", at positions 8 to 493 of the family's 1533-position model. The record is from RNAcentral.
AGAGUUUGAUCCUGGCUCAGAACGAACGCUGGCGGCAGGCUUAACACAUGCAAGUCGAGCGCCCCGCAAGGGGAGCGGCAGACGGGUGAGUAACGCGUGGGAACAUACCCUCCGGUUCGGAAUAGCUCAGGGAAACUUGGAUUAAUACCGGAUACGGCCUAGCGGCGAAAGAUUCAUCGCCGGAGGAUUGGCCCGCGUCUGAUUAGCUAGUUGGUGGGGUAAUGGCCCACCAAGGCGACGAUCAGUAGCUGGUCUGAGAGGAUGAUCAGCCACAUUGGGACUGAGACACGGCCCAAACUCCUACGGGAGGCAGCAGUGGGGAAUAUUGGACAAUGGGCGCAAGCCUGAUCCAGCCAUGCCGCGUGAGUGAUGACGGCCUUAGGGUUGUAAAGCUCUUUCGCUCGGGACGAUAAUGACGGUACCGAGAUAAGAAGCCC